Molecule: ribosomal RNA, 460 nt
Filed under: uncultured bacterium
Lineage: Bacteria
Description: partial 16S ribosomal RNA
Rfam family: Bacterial small subunit ribosomal RNA
Source: RNAcentral
CCUACGGGUGGCAGCAGUGAGGAAUAUUGGUCAAUGGACGAGAGUCUGAACCAGCCAAGUAGCGUGAAGGAUGACUGCCCUAUGGGUUGUAAACUUCUUUUAUAUGGGAAUAAAACGUUCCACGUGUGGGAUUUUGUAUGUACCAUAUGAAUAAGGAUCGGCUAACUCCGGGCCAGCAGCCGCGGUAAUACGGAGGAUCCGAGCGUUAUCCGGAUUUAUUGGGUUUAAAGGGGGCGUAGGUGGAUUGUUAAGUCAGUUGUGAAAGUUUGCGGCUCAACCGUAAAAUUGCAGUUGAAACUGGCAGUCUUGAGUACAGUAGAGGUGGGCGGAAUUCGUGGUGUAGCGGUGAAAUGCUUAGAUAUCACGAAGAACUCCGAUUGCGAAGGCAGUUCACUGGACUGCAACUGACACUGAGGCUCGAAAGUGUGGGUAUCAAACAGGAUUAGAUACCCCUGUAGUC